UACGUAGGGUGCAAGCGUUGUCCGGAAUUAUUGGGCGUAAAGAGCUCGUAGGCGGUUUGUCGCGUCUGCUGUGAAAACCCGGGGCUCAACUUCGGGCUUGCGGUCGAUACGGGCGGGCUAGAGUUCGGUAGGGGAGACUGGAAUUCCUGGUGUAGCGGUGAAAUGCGCAGAUAUCAGGAGGAACACCGGUGGCGAAGGCGGGUCUCUGGGCCGAUACUGACGCUGAGGAGCGAAAGCGUGGGGAGCGAACAGG
RNAcentral lists this ribosomal RNA (253 nucleotides) under uncultured bacterium. Its description in RNAcentral is "partial 16S ribosomal RNA". It matches the Rfam family "Bacterial small subunit ribosomal RNA", at positions 524 to 776 of the family's 1533-position model. The record is from RNAcentral.